This 472-nucleotide ribosomal RNA is filed under the name uncultured organism. RNAcentral describes it as "partial 16S ribosomal RNA". It matches the Rfam family "Bacterial small subunit ribosomal RNA", at positions 332 to 796 of the family's 1533-position model. The record is from RNAcentral.
UACACUCCUGCGGGAGGCAGCAGUGGGGAAUUUUGGACAAUGGGCGAAAGCCUGAUCCAGCAAUGCCGCGUGAGUGAAGAAGGCCUUCGGGUUGUAAAGCUCUUUUGUCAGGGAAGAAACGGUGAAAGCUAAUAUCUUUUGCUAAUGACGGUACCUGAAGAAUAAGCACCGGCUAACUACGUGCCAGCAGCCGCGGUAAUACGUAGGGUGCAAGCGUUAAUCGGAAUUCCUGGGCGUAAAGCGUGCGCAGGCGGUUUUGUAAGUCUGAUGUGAAAUCCCCGGGCUCAACCUGGGAAUUGCAUUGGAGACUGCAAGGCUAGAAUCUGGCAGAGGGGGGUAGAAUUCCACGUGUAGCAGUGAAAUGCGUAGAUAUGUGGAGGAACACCGAUGGCGAAGGCAGCCCCCUGGGUCAAGAUUGACGCUCAUGCACGAAAGCGUGGGGAGCAAACAGGAUUAGAAACCCGUGUAGUCC